This is a long non-coding RNA of Rhea pennata, 1015 nucleotides long. RefSeq lists it as uncharacterized. The record is from RefSeq and is a predicted model, not a curated record. Lineage: Eukaryota; Metazoa; Chordata; Aves; Rheiformes; Rheidae. The transcript is spliced from 2 exons.
CCCUGUGCAAGGCCCUGGGAUUUUAAAAGGGCUGGUUUGCUCCUGAAGGGGAGGGGCAAGCAGGCUGCCAGAGCUCUAGUGGAUUUUUUUUUCCUCUCUUUUUCUAUUUUAUUUUAUUUUUCGCAAAGAUCCUGUAUUAACGGCCUCCUGUCGGACAGGACCGCGUCGAGCGAGCGGAGAGGGGACGGGCUGGUGCCCAGCGGCGUGCCAGGCAUGGGCCGGCGCGGCCCCCGGUGCCUGCCAGCACAGCUGGCUCCCGAUGACUUCAGCGGCUGAGAGAGUUCGCUGUGUUUCUCCCUCUUCCCUUUCGGCACAGGAAUUGUUACUCACUGCGUACACAAUGCCAGCUAUUACAUGGAAUUACAGGAAAUCUUCGUGUAUCACAUCUUCAAAGAGAUGCAUUGAAAAGCAAUAGCAAAGAUAUCCAUUUCUUCCUACUUUGUUAUUUGUCUUGGCUCAGAACAUGGGGUGAUGCUGCGCUUUCCUCACCGUGCCCCUGAGCUGUGCCCAGGUCCCCUACCCAUCCCUGAAGUCCCCUCUCCUCCUGGGGCACAGCGACACGGGCUGGCAACCCUGCGACCGCCGCGUGGUGCCUUCUUGCCCAGGCAAUGGCUCUUCGUAGCUACGUGAGACACCGGCAGUGAGCAGCCAGAAUACGCUCCUUCCUGCUUUUCUGCAGUGUUGAAGGAACGUAAAUAUGACUCCCAUAAAGCUGCGUGUUUGCUUGGACCCCAUGGAGCAAAGCAGCUCCAGCGGCUGGAGCUCGGCGCAGUGGCACCGGUGGCCGAGCAUGCCUGGGACCCACCACCACGAGAGCCCCUUCCCCGGGGUCAUGUCCAGCGAAUCCCUCCCAUUUCCAGUGACAUUCUUCACUGUACGGCUUGCUCUCUGCUUGCUCUAGCUACUUUGGAUUUAAUUACAUUUCCAGCAUGUCACAAGUACUUAAUUGUGAAUAGCUAAACAUUUAAGACACAGGAAUAUCUCUCCAAAUAAACACAUGUACGGAUGAUACAGA